GGCCGACUGAAUAGUUUACAUGCAGUAGGGUCAUUAAGUAUAAUUGACCAAUGUUUUCGUAAUACUGAUGAUAGCUUCCGAAUCGAGGGAUGGUACUUAGUGACCAUAGUUAAAGGGGUGCCCUUGUUAUUAGAUUUCUUUUUAUAUUUCAUUGCAUUUUCUCUUUUAGUAUUUAAGGCUGAAUUUAUGCAAUUGUGAAUUUCGUUGGAUGAGUAACCUCUCUCUAAUAACUUAGAUUCAAAAUGUUUGAUAACAUUUUCAAGAUUAGAUUGAUUGCUGUUUAAACGUAAAUGUCUUAGGGUUUCCCCUUUUACAAAACCUUUAAAUGUUCCAAUAGGGUGUGCACUUGUUCUAUGUAGAAACUGAUACGUUUCGGGUUUUUUAAUGUAGGAUUUUGUAUCGCUUUUAAGUAUAACUAUAUUAUUGUUCUUAUCAGUUUUUUUUAUCACAAUGUCAGCCCUUUUUCUCAGGGAUUUUAAUGCAUUCCAUUCGUUUUUAGAUAAGUUACUAUAGUGUGUUGAAAAUUUUAAGUUGUCAAUUUCCAUCUUUG
RNAcentral lists this long non-coding RNA (550 nucleotides) under Mytilus galloprovincialis (Mediterranean mussel). Lineage: Eukaryota; Metazoa; Mollusca; Bivalvia; Mytilida; Mytilidae. The record is from RNAcentral.